This is a long non-coding RNA of Solanum lycopersicum (tomato), 734 nucleotides long. RefSeq lists it as uncharacterized. The record is from RefSeq and is a predicted model, not a curated record. Lineage: Eukaryota; Viridiplantae; Streptophyta; Magnoliopsida; Solanales; Solanaceae.
AUUGUACAGAAGAUUUUUUGAGUUGUACAACAAACUUAGUUUUUCCUAUUUUUUCUGCUAACACGUGUAUUGUCUUCUAGCAAACCACGUACCACUUUACAGUGCAAGCAGACUAUCUUACAAAUUCCUAUGAUCCUUCUCUUUUCAACAUUGGCUUUGUUCUUCACUCUUCUCAUAGUUUCUCUACCAUUUGUUUUGAUUUUCUACUAUGUAUUCCUUUGUACGUGAAUGAUCCAAAAGGAACGAAACAUGGGAAUUUUCCUUCAUUUCUUAGCUUUGAUCAUCAAGGGUGGUCACUUAUACAUCUCUAAAUCUCUACCUGAGAAUUUAACAAAGAUAUCUUACCUGCCAAGAUUUUGAUACAAUGAGAGCUUUCAUGAAGGAAGUGUGAUCAAAUUUGAGGCCUGCUUUGUGACCAAAUUGUUCAGGAAGCUGAGUGCCUUGCUGAUGAACUCAUCAAUGCUGCCAAGGGUUCUUCAAAUAGCUAUGCUAUUAAGAAGAAGGACGAGAUUGAAAGGGUUGCCAAGGCUAAUCGUUAAGAGAUUGAUGUUGGAACAACUUUCUUGAGAGACUUUUUGGUUAUGUUAUUUUCUCAUUUCUGUUUUCAUGUAGGCAUUAUAGCAUCUACUACUCCUUAUGGAUUUAGUUUCUUAGAGGAUUUAUGUUUGGUAUUGUUAUAAAUGUUAAAUUUUGAAGUUUCUUUUUUCGGGUUCUCAGUAGAAUUUUGUUAAACA